This 1069-nucleotide long non-coding RNA is filed under the name Salmo salar (Atlantic salmon). RNAcentral describes it as "lncRNA (ENSSSAG00000114255.1)". Lineage: Eukaryota; Metazoa; Chordata; Actinopteri; Salmoniformes; Salmonidae. The record is from RNAcentral.
CUGGGGACAGUGACACUGGAGAUGCGCGUUCACAAGACUUCUCCAUUUUUUUCUUUCAGUCUUUGAUUGAAUACAACGUUGCCCGGUUGGAAUAUUAUCGCUAUUUUCCGAGGAAAGUAGCAUAAAAAUAGAUUUUAAACAGAGUUUGACAUGCUUCUAAGUACGGUAAUGUAAUAUUUAGACAUUUUUGGUCACGAAAUGCGCACGCGCGUUACACUUCGGAUAGUGACCUGAACGCACGAACAAAACGGAGCUAUUUGGAUAUAACUAUGGAUUAUUUGGAACCAAAACAACAUUUGUUGUUGAAGUAGAAGUCCUGGGAGUGCAUUCUGACGAAGAACAGCAAAGCAUCAGUGGACACACCAGACUCUCCUUUAUCAGUCAUACAAAGAGAAUGUUCUAAUACCUCCCAUCGAAAAGAGAGCUGGCCCAAGCAAGCACAGGUUAAACCUGAAGCAUGAGGACUUGCAGCGAGUGGUAAACUUCAACAACUACGCAGAGGAUAAUGCAAUAGUAUUACCAGGAUGCCACCCAGGACACAAACACUUUGGUGGAAAGCUGCUGCCAUCCCAUGUGACAAAAGCAGCAGUAUGGUGUCUCUACAAGGAAUCAAUGACAACACUUGGCCACACCAAGUUUGCCCCGACUGGUGCAGGGCCUCAUCAAGCAGUGCUUCAGAAAGACCAGAGUGAAUACUUUGUCUGAGAUUGCUGGUGUUGUGAAGGACAGCACUGUGACAGGGGUAAACAUCCCAGUGGUGGUCCGCCUGUUAUCGAAACCUGGAGGUGGUCUUGAGAAGAGCGGCCUGGGCUCUCUUCCAGUUGCGGCGACAGCAACGGACGAACAUCUGGGCAGAAGGACAAUGACCCAACACACCUCCAGGCUGUGUAAGGGCUAUUUGACCAAGGAAGAGAGUGAUGGAGUGCUGCAUCAGAUGACCUGUCCUCCACAAUCACCCGACCUCAACCCAAAUUAGAUGGUUUUGGAUAAGUUGGACUGCAGAGUGAAGGAAAAGCAGCCAACAAGUGCUCAGCAUAUGUGGGAACUCAUUCAAUAUGGUUGGAAAAGC